Maylandia zebra (zebra mbuna) is the source of this 723-nucleotide non-coding RNA. Lineage: Eukaryota; Metazoa; Chordata; Actinopteri; Cichliformes; Cichlidae. The record is from RefSeq and is a predicted model, not a curated record.
UACAGGAGACGGGAAGAAACAAGCCGAUUAUGUUCGCGUUAAUUAAGUGGUUGGAAGAUGUAAAAUUCUCAAUUCUGCCAACUGAACAUAUACGAGAUUUUAAUGAGGAUGAAUAAUUAGCCGGCAUGGAGGAAACGGACCUUUAUUUCGUGGAGUGGCGACAAGAAGCCAAGGCGGGUGGCCAGUCUAAGAAGCCUCCAUCAUCAAGCUAGCAGAAAUCCUACCUCUCCUUCUGGCUACAGAGUACUUACCAAGCCCAUGAAAUCGAAUGCAGAUCUUCCUAAUGUGAGAUUUACAUAAAUAUGUCAAAGUCUCAACCUCAUGCUGCCCUCCCCCAUCCUCCUAAACCUGUGGAUACAAAUGCAGAUUUCCUUAAUGUUCAAUGGUGCGUGUUCUUCUAAUGGCCGCCUUCCCACUGGAGGUUUUGAUCCACAGCAAUUUAAAAGGUAAUCAGCUUUGAAAGUCAGUUCAAAUGGUUAGCUAAUAGUACUUUAAAAAGCCUACAACUCUGUCACCAGUUUCUUUACCAAAAAUUACCCAUAAAAGUAUCGCUCAAUAGCAUAUAUUGUAGUUCAAAUGUUUAGUUGUACAAAUAUCAAAUUUUUGGAAAUCUAAAACUAGUCAAACACUCAAAUGUUCAUGCUUUUUAUAGGAGGACAGAGCAAAACGGACAUCGGCGCAGAGUGAAGAACUGCCCUUGAUAAGGACACUAUGACAGCCAUA